CCUAGGAGGAUCCUGAGUACGGCGGAACACGAGAAAUUCCGUCGGAAUCCGCGGGGACCAUCCCGCAAGGCUAAAUACUCCCUAGUGACCGAUAGUGAACCAGUACCGUGAGGGAAAGGUGAAAAGCACCCCGGAAGGGGAGUGAAAUAGAUCCUGAAACCGUGUGCCUACAACAAGUCAAAGCUCGUUAAUGAGUGAUGGCGUGCCUUUUGUAGAAUGAACCGGCGAGUUACGAUUGCAUGCGAGGUUAAGUCGAAGAGACGGAGCCGCAGCGAAAGCGAGUCUGAAUAGGGCGAAUGAGUAUGUAGUCGUAGACCCGAAACCAUGUGAUCUACCCAUGUCCAGGUUGAAGGUGCGGUAAAACGCACUGGAGGACCGAACCCACGUACGUUGAAAAGUGCGGGGAUGAGGUGUGGGUAGCGGAGAAAUUCCAAACGAACUUGGAGAUAGCUGGUUCUCUCCGAAAUAGCUUUAGGGCUAGCCUCGGAAUUGAGAAUGAUGGAGGUAGAGCACUGUUUGGACUAGGGGCCCAUCUCGGGUUACCGAAUUCAGAUAAACUCCGAAUGCCAUUCAUUUAUAUCCGGGAGUCAGACUGCGAGUGAUAAGAUCCGUAGUCGAAAGGGAAACAGCCCAGACCACCAGCUAAGGUCCCAAAAUAUAUGUUAAGUGGAAAAGGAUGUGGGGUUGCACAGACAACUAGGAUGUUGGCUUAGAAGCAGCCACCAUUUAAAGAGUGCGUAAUAGCUCACUAGUCGAGUGACCCUGCGCCGAAAAUGUACCGGGGCUAAACAUAUUACCGAAGCUGUGGACUACACCAUUAGGUGUAGUGGUAGGAGAGCGUUCUAAGGGCGUUGAAGGUCGAUCGUGAGGACGGCUGGAGCGCUUAGAAGUGAGAAUGCCGGUAUGAGUAGCGAAAGACAGGUGAGAAUCCUGUCCACCGUAUGACUAAGGUUUCCUGGGGAAGGCUCGUCCGCCCAGGGUUAGUCGGGACCUAAGCCGAGGCCGAUAGGCGUAGGCGAUGGACAACAGGUUGAUAUUCCUGUACCAGUUGUUUUUGUUUGAGCAAUGGAGGGACGCAGUAGGCUAAGGAAUGCAUGCGAUUGGAAGUGCAUGUCCAAGCAAUGAGUCUUGAG
RNAcentral lists this ribosomal RNA (1133 nucleotides) under Enterococcus faecalis. RNAcentral's name for it is "partial 23S ribosomal RNA". It matches the Rfam family "Bacterial large subunit ribosomal RNA", at positions 396 to 1530 of the family's 2925-position model. The record is from RNAcentral. Lineage: Bacteria; Bacillati; Bacillota; Bacilli; Lactobacillales; Enterococcaceae.